RNAcentral lists this transfer RNA (77 nucleotides) under Bacillota bacterium LX-D. RNAcentral describes it as "tRNA-Gln". It matches the Rfam family "tRNA". Rfam says of the family: Transfer RNA (tRNA) molecules are approximately 80 nucleotides in length. Their secondary structure includes four short double-helical elements and three loops (D, anti-codon, and T loops). The record is from RNAcentral. Lineage: Bacteria; Bacillati; Bacillota.
UGGGGCAUAGCCAAGUUUGGUAAGGCACAGGAUUCUGGCUCCUGGAUGCGUUGGUUCGAAUCCAACUGCCCUAACCA